GCUGAAAAGUACAAAGACAGAAACUGGCUCGACCGGGAAGUGAGGCGUCCCAGGACGGGGAGAGGGGCAGGGGGUGGGUCUGAGCGAGGACGGGGCUUGGGAUGAGCACAGAGAGAGCAGGAGCUGGCAGUACGGGCCCCAGAGGAGGCUGAUGGGCCGCGGCUGGCUCUCCAAGCCGCCGAGGAAGCAAAGAGCCAGGGCCUCCAACGAGUGGGCCGGGGACACUGAGGCUCAGAGCGCCUGGCGGCGUGAGAGGGACGGCCGCUCACCCAGGACACCACCCUUCCGUUGAAGCAGGGGAGGCGGGCGCUGUCAUCUGAAAUCUCCUCCUUCACCACCCUGCCGAGAGAGGGCACAAAGGCCGGUGAGACUGGCCUCACCACCCCCCCAACACACCCCCAAUUCAAACCUCCUGAACCGCAUCCAUGGAGCUCGGGGGCGCCGACUUUCUCCAGCCCUGACCCAGUCCUCUUCCCUGACGCUGAAACCCUUCGCUUGCGCACCUACGGGGUCUCCCCAUUCGCUCCCCUUCCUUCCUUCUCUCCCCAACUCAUCCUCCGGGCUCAAUGCUGCUCCAAAGAUUUCCUGGGGUCCGCUUCCAACUUCUCACUCGGAUCUCAGAGACCGUCCUGUCCCCUUGGGUGACCCUACAGGUCUCUGCACCAAGCAACCUGUCUUGCCUGACAGACCCCAAAGCCCAGCGUCAGGAUGGACACGACUCGCUCCUUCUUCUCACCCACCACGUGAAAUCACGGCCGCCUGUUCUGUUCGGCACCCUGUCCUGGCCACACAGCGACAGACCGGACACUUGUUAAGCAUCAACAAACGGUUGAAUAAAUACACGAACUACGAGAA
Molecule: long non-coding RNA, 855 nt
Organism: Felis catus (domestic cat)
Lineage: Eukaryota; Metazoa; Chordata; Mammalia; Carnivora; Felidae
Exons: 2
Source: RefSeq, a predicted model, not a curated record